Molecule: unclassified non-coding RNA, 217 nt
Filed under: Glomus sp.
Lineage: Eukaryota; Fungi; Glomeromycota; Glomeromycetes; Glomerales; Glomeraceae
Description: partial contains 5.8S ribosomal RNA and internal transcribed spacer 2
Rfam family: 5.8S ribosomal RNA (bases 1-71)
Source: RNAcentral
GUGAAUCAUCGAAUUUUUGAACGCAAAUUGCACUCUCUGGUAUUCCGGAGAGUAUGCCUGUUUGAGGGUCAGUUUAAAUAAAAAUCGGUGUGGUUGCUGCCUUUCGUGGUGACGCACCGGAUUUGGGUCGUCUUGCCUUCGGUUAAGUGACCUAAAAUUUUGCAUGAUUUUUUUCGACGGUAUUAAAAUAAUUUUCGUUACGUUUCCAAUACAGAUU